UGGGAUGUAGCUCUGCUGGUAGAGCGCUGUGCUUGCCUCGCAUGCAUGAGGCUCUGGGUUCAAUUCCCAGCACUACAA
Molecule: transfer RNA, 78 nt
Filed under: Marmota monax (woodchuck)
Lineage: Eukaryota; Metazoa; Chordata; Mammalia; Rodentia; Sciuridae
Rfam family: tRNA
About the family: Transfer RNA (tRNA) molecules are approximately 80 nucleotides in length. Their secondary structure includes four short double-helical elements and three loops (D, anti-codon, and T loops).
Source: Rfam by way of RNAcentral